RNAcentral lists this ribosomal RNA (937 nucleotides) under metagenome. RNAcentral describes it as "bacterial SSU rRNA". It matches the Rfam family "Bacterial small subunit ribosomal RNA", at positions 240 to 1195 of the family's 1533-position model. The record is from RNAcentral.
AUUAGCUAGUUGGUGGGGUAAAGGCCUACCAAGGCGAUGAUAGGUAGCCGGCCCGAGAGGGUGAACGGCCACAAGGGGACUGAGAUACGGCCCUUACUCCUACGGGAGGCAGCAGUGGGGAAUAUUGGACAAUGGAGGGAACUCUGAUCCAGCAAUUCUGUGUGCACGAAGAAGGUUUUCGGAUUGUAAAGUGCUUUCAGUAGGGAAGAAGAAAGUGACGGUACCUACAGAAGAAGCGACGGCUAAAUACGUGCCAGCAGCCGCGGUAAUACGUAUGUCGCAAGCGUUAUCCGGAAUUAUUGGGCUUAAAGGGCAUCUAGGCGGUUUUUCAAGUCAGGGGUGAAAACUUAUGGCUCAACUAUAAGCUUGCCUUUGAAACUGAAAGACUAGAGUACUGGAAAGGUGGGUGGAACUACACGAGUAGAGGUGAAAUUCGUAGAUAUGUGUAGGAAUGCCGAUGAUGAAGAUAACUCACUGGACAGAAACUGACGCUGAAGUGCGAAAGCUAGGGGAGCAAACAGGAUUAGAUACCCUGGUAGUCCUAGCUGUAAACGAUGAUCACUGGGUGUGGGGAUGAAUAGUCUCUGUGCCGAAGCAAAAGCGAUAAGUGAUCCGCCUGGGGAGUACGUACGCAAGUAUGAAACUCAAAGGAAUUGACGGGGACCCGCACAAGUGGUGGAGCAUGUGGUUUAAUUCGACGCAACGCGAGGAACCUUACCAGGUCUUGACAUACUCGGAAUCUUUUGGAAGCAAAGGAGUGCCUUCGGGAACCGAGAUACAGGUGGUGCAUGGCUGUCGACAGCUCGUGUCGUGAGAUGUUGGGUUAAGUCCCGCAACGAGCGAAACCCCUAUCAUUAGUUGCCAUCAUUAAGUUGGGGACUCUAAUGAAACUGCCUGCGAAGAGCAGGAGGAAGGUGGGGAUGACGUCAAGUCAUCA